GAUGAACGCUGGCGGCGUGCCUAAUACAUGCAAGUCGAGCGAACAGACGAGGAGCUUGCUCCUCUGACGUUAGCGGCGGACGGGUGAGUAACACGUGGAUAACCUACCUAUAAGACUGGGAUAACUUCGGGAAACCGGAGCUAAUGCCGGAUAAUAUAUUGAACCGCAUGGUUCAAUAGUGAAAGACGGUUUUGCUGUCACUUAUAGAUGGAUCCGCGCCGCAUUAGCUAGUUGGUAAGGUAACGGCUUACCAAGGCAACGAUGCGUAGCCGACCUGAGUGGGUGAUCGGCCACACUGGAACUGAGACACGGUCCAGACUCCUACGGGAGGCAGCAGUAGGGAAUCUUCCGCAAUGGGCGAAAGCUUGACGGAGCAACGCCGCGUGAGUGAUGAAGGUCUUCGGAUCGUAAAACUCUGUUAUUAGGGAAGAACAAAUGUGUAAGUAACUAUGCACGUCUUGACGGUACCUAAUCAGAAAGCCACGGCUAACUACGUG
RNAcentral lists this ribosomal RNA (497 nucleotides) under uncultured bacterium. RNAcentral's name for it is "partial 16S ribosomal RNA". It matches the Rfam family "Bacterial small subunit ribosomal RNA", at positions 28 to 507 of the family's 1533-position model. The record is from RNAcentral.